RNAcentral lists this unclassified non-coding RNA (378 nucleotides) under plant metagenome. RNAcentral's name for it is "partial contains 5.8S ribosomal RNA, internal transcribed spacer 2, and large subunit ribosomal RNA". The stretch from base 1 to 105 matches the Rfam family "5.8S ribosomal RNA", at positions 50 to 154 of the family's 154-position model. The record is from RNAcentral.
GAAAUGCGAUAAGUAAUGUGAAUUGCAGAAUUCAGUGAAUCAUCGAAUCUUUGAACGCACAUUGCGCUCCUUGGUAUUCCUUGGAGCAUGCCUGUUUGAGUAUCAUGAAAUCUUCAAAGUAAAUCUUUUGUUAACUCAAUUGGUUUCUACUUUGGUAUUGGAGGUUUUUGCAGCUUCACACCUGCUCCUCUUUGUUCAUUAGCUGGAUCUCAGUGUUAUGCUUGGUUCCACUCGGCGUGAUAAGUUAUCUAUCGCUGAGGACACUGUAAAAGGUGGCCAAGGUAAAUGCAGAUGAACCGCUUCUAAUAGUCCAUUGACUUGGACAAUACUUUUAUGAUCUGAUCUCAAAUCAGGUAGGACUACCCGCUGAACUUAAGC